Molecule: transfer RNA, 69 nt
Filed under: Nibea coibor
Lineage: Eukaryota; Metazoa; Chordata; Actinopteri; Sciaenidae
Also listed under: 2 other names
Description: tRNA-Ala
Rfam family: tRNA
About the family: Transfer RNA (tRNA) molecules are approximately 80 nucleotides in length. Their secondary structure includes four short double-helical elements and three loops (D, anti-codon, and T loops).
Source: RNAcentral
AAGGCUUUAGCUUAAUUAAAGUAUCUGUUUUGCAUGCAGAUGAUGUGGGAUAGUGGCCCGCAGGUCUUA